This is an RNA transcript of Prionailurus viverrinus (fishing cat), 1405 nucleotides long. It is a transcript of the gene named CCDC163 homolog, with no coding region annotated. NCBI's taxonomy places the organism in Eukaryota, Metazoa, Chordata, Mammalia, Carnivora, Felidae. The record is from RefSeq and is a predicted model, not a curated record. The transcript has 9 exons.
GAAACGUAGUUCUACAGCCUCCAUCGCCGGUUGUUUCCUCGAGAGACGAACUCAGUUUCCCACGUGGCGCUGCGGCAGCCAGUCCGAGGUCGGACUUUCCCGGCCUACAGGAGGGUUUGAACUGGGCAGUAGUCGCUGGCACAGGUUCGGAGUGAUGGUACUUGUGUCUUGGGUCUGGGAAGGUUUCGACCAAGAUUCGGCACUCUCAAUUCCCACCUGAUAAUUGAGUAUCAAAGCAUCCCGCUUUCCCCCUAGAGUCCCCAAGCGCUGCUCUCCUGACCAGUCCCAGUUUGGCUUGAUAACUGCAUCCCUCCCUACCUUUAGUAUUACAUCCCCACUCCCCACUUUCUAUCUGAAGUGUGGCCUUACUGGGCUGUGUCUCUGGUGUUCCGGGCUGGAAGAGCAAAGGCACAAGACGUCAGGGAGCCUUGCGGAAGGUUAUGAGUAGGAGCCUGAGCUGGUAUGAGCACCUCGACGUGCUUCUCAAUGCUACCGAUGGAAAUGUGGCCAGGAUUAAGCAGCGGCUGUAUCCUCUUGGAGUCUCCACAGCGGCAGGAGAUUUGGCUGGGACCUGGAUUUCCCCUCAUCACUUGCCUCCUCAGUCUGGAGUCCAUGCUCAACAGCCUUGGGCUCUAGAGACUCCUUUUGUCCCAGAGAGGCUGAGUUGGGGUAAGGCCCAUGGUGCAUCUUCUCUCUGGGAUGAAGUUAUUAUUCUCCAAUCCCAGCUUCAAUCCCAGGCUCAGGUGACUGAGACACUAAGACAGGCUGUGCAGGGGCUGCUGGAAGAGCAAGAGCAGCAGAAGUAUAAGAUCUGUACCCUGGAAGCAUCACUAAGGUUGCUGCAGGGGAGCCCAGAGCAGAGGGUCCUUCUCCUGGAUCAAUGCCUGGAGGGGCUGAGAAGGGAACUGCAGGGCCUUCGAAGCCAGGUGCAGGAACAGGCCCAAGCCCAAAUACAAACAGGACCACAAAAACGUAGUGCUACUGGUGGCCUUCACCAAGAGCUGCAGAAUGAGUGUCAACUCCUGUGGGAGGAAUCAGAGAUUCUUCAGGAGGAGCUGAAAUUGCUGCAGGACCAGCUGAGCCAGCACCAGGAGCUGCUGCUGAAACAGAUGGCUGAAGGGGGGCAAGCUCAGGCCCACAGCUGGAAGGACCUCCAUUCACAUCCUCCAAUCUAAGUUGUCCCUGGCUGCCACCUUCACCAUGUCUCUUUCUUCAUCUACCUCUGAAGUCAGUCUUCCAGACAGCAACAGUAGCUGGGAAACUAGAUCUCCAGAAGAGCACACUUUCUAACCUGGAGCCCAGCAGCUUUCAGCUUUAGGCCCAGAGCCUUGAGCAGGAGAACAUAUUCUUUAAGGGCCCCACAAUGUUCCUGAGUGACCUGUAAGAACUUGUAAGAGUAGCUUUG